Pipra filicauda (Wire-tailed manakin) is the source of this 2996-nucleotide long non-coding RNA. RefSeq lists it as uncharacterized. The record is from RefSeq and is a predicted model, not a curated record. Lineage: Eukaryota; Metazoa; Chordata; Aves; Passeriformes; Pipridae. The transcript is spliced from 2 exons.
CACUUCUUAGGAUCUGCUCAAAGUCUGCGGUUACAGAGACAUUAAAUCAGCUGUAACUGCCUGUUCCUCAAAGAGCACUUGAAGCCAAAUCACCUCUACCUAUUACUCGUCACGACUCGGUACACCAGGAGUUCCUGCUAAGUAACCCCAAACUUGUCAAGUACGCCAGAAUCGCCUGUAAAUCCGGGAAGCGCGAUUCUUUGUAAAAGGCUCACAGGUUCUGAUCGCGGCAGAGAAGGGAUUCGCCAUAGUAACAAACCCCCACCCGCACCGCGGGUCACAGCUGGGAGCCUGGCGCGGCGAGCCCCGCACCCCUCGGCACCACGCACACCUGCCCGGCGCCGGGAAGGCGGGACGAGCCGGGAGAAGUCAGCAAUCUGUCCGCACGAGGAGAGGCACCGCACCGGGGAUUCCCUGUCCCCAGCGGCGGCACAACCACGGCCCCGGCCUCGUAUAAAGGGGCGGAGGGAGGGGAAUCCCGGACCAGCUCACGCCAAGCCCCACCGGCACCACGGCAAGCGCCCGCCUCGUACUUAUUUACGCGGCACGAAGGGGGCGGGAGGUUCGGGAGGAGCUGCCGGGGCCGGACCCUCCCCCGGGCCGCAUCCAGCGGGGAAUCUGCAUCCGGAUAGAGGGAGGGAGCUCCUCGCACGGACCGACUGGCCGCGGGCAGGGCAGCGCUAAGUUCUUCCUAAGGCCAGUAAUUGAAGGAGCGAGUGAAAAUCCUCGGGAGAUGCCGCCUAUGAGAAAUUUCGGUUAUGUGCCUGAGCAGCUUCUGGAGCCGCAGAGGAUGGAGCUCGCCCUCACACAUAGACGGCUUCCCCUUUUUUUAUCGAGGAUCUUAAGCUUAGGAGAACAUCUGUGAAUCUGGUAACAUUAAAAUCCUCUCAUAACUGCACCCCGCAGUGAGCGAGAGUUCAGCACUCUGUUGGAAGAUGCACUCUUGGAUUCAGAUACUAUUUUUUUCUGGUUAUGCAGGGGAUUUACUUGAAACCCCAGAAAGCGCUCCACAUCCUCAGAAUUGACAGUGUAGUUUGAAUCGGUCUGACCAGUGCUUCCCCAGAACACAUACACACACCUCAGAUACUGAUUUCCUUAGCGAGAAGAGGCUUUAAAAUGUGAAUAAUGAAUUUUGUGACUCAAUUCAAAGAGGUGUGGUGAAUGCCAAGAGCAGCAUUGUUAUACAUUUAAAUAACAAUGUGGUUUUUUAGUAGCGUCCUACAGAAAAAAAAAGAAAAAAAAUUCAAACAAGUAAGCAAAAGCACCAUGUUCCUCGUACGAAAUUUGAUUUAUUUUCACUAGGAUACUCAAUAAAGGAUUUGAUCAGGAACUGAGGACAAGGUAACUAAUCAGAGCAAAGAAUAAACAAGGUUUUAAAUGCCAGAAAUGUGUACUUCUACCUAUGUAUGCCCACUGGGAAUUUUUCUGUCCUUUUUUUCACUUAAAUUUACUCAAAUGCCUUGCAUCUGGGGGAAGAAUAGGUAUUUUCCUAGACAGUGACAAGAAACAAGGUUUUAGAGAAGCUGCUCCUGGUGUUUUGUUCUCAGUUGUUAGCAGCAUGGAAGAAACUACAGCACUUAGAGCGUUCAGGCCUCUCAAGGGAGCACUGUCAGACCCAAACCUCACUGGCUUCUUGAGGUUUUGCACCUCAUAGAGCAAUGCCUUUACAUAUAAAUGAAGUGUAAACUGUUCCCUCGAGGUGCUCUGUGUGGUAACUCCCUGGCAAGCAAGUGAAUCACAGAUGUAAGUAGCCUGCUCUCUUUUAAGUUGGACUGUUCUGAUUUCAGCAGGGAGUUACAAACACCACAGCAUCAAGCACAAGCCUUGAAAGUUUCAUAAAUGGGCAUCAAGUGCAAGUUGCUCAUUUGAAAGACUCCUGACAAAAACCAGGAAGGCCAACUCUAGGAACAUCAACGAACUUUUAAAAAAAAUCUACUUUCAUGCUGAGCUACUUACCUUAUCUGCUUUAAACUGGGAAGAAGGGCUACUCUGCAACUGACUGUCCAAUAAUGUAUUUGACAGGAGUACAGUUUUCACUUUCCAGGUUUAGACUAUAUGGUAACAACUUUUAUGAAACAAAAACAGGCCAGCAUGAUUUAAGACAACAUGGACAGAGCAAAUUCUGCACAUAACGAAAGGUCAUUUAAACCAGCUACAUUAUCAAUUGAUAUUUCUUAAUUUUACUUUUUGGACUGUUAAGUGGCAUAAUAAUUUAUUUUGUAAUAAACAGUGUUCCAAAAAUACAGUCUUCUGCAAUAGUACCAGUGCAACCCACUGCUAAUGUACUGAUAACUUGGACAGUUUUGUCUUGAUCAUAAGGAUUUUACACAAGUACUGUCAUCAUGUAUACAAAAUUUCUUUUUCUAAUCUGCUUCCACGCUGCUUGAUGUGUCAAGGAUUUAGAGUAAUUAAUUUCAAGUAAACCAAUGUUAUUCCAUAUUCCUAAUAAAUCUCUAUAAAGCUGUACGCAUUCUACAGGUACUAAUUCAAAAAACCAACCAAAAAAAUCCAAUUUCAUGACUAUUUGUUAUAGGGAACAAAGUGUAGUGGUGGGACACAAGAAUUAAAUGCUUAAUUAGAAGUGCAGUGUAUAGCCCUUCUUAAAAAGCUAAGCAUUUGCUCUGUGUGAAGUAGAGAACUUUUGGAUGAACAGAUUGCAAUGAAAACAUUAGCAUGCAGUAUCUUCUGGGAUGUGACUAAUCUCAGACCUGUCUUAAAUGUACCAUGAGGUUCUUAUAUUUUUUCAAAGAGACAAGUGUACAGUAACAUUCUCCAUGCAUGUUUUCGGAGGCAAAAUGUGUUUAGUUUCUCCUUGUGUUUCUCCCAGUCUGUUGCUUAAGACAGCCAUACAGACGUCAUUGUUCGUCCUGCAAUGUGACAUUAUACUUCAUAUAGAAGAAUAAAUUACAAUAGUAUUUUUCUUUUUGUCCAUUUUUGUCAACCUGAUAACAAAACUGUGUUUAAGCUAAUAAACUGAGAACAAAUUUGCUUCCCAA